This is a long non-coding RNA of Oreochromis aureus, 1290 nucleotides long. The record is from Ensembl. Lineage: Eukaryota; Metazoa; Chordata; Actinopteri; Cichliformes; Cichlidae.
AAAAGAAAAAUGCUGCAAAAAGAAAAACGCUGCAAAAAGAAAAAUGCUGCAAAAAGAAAAACGCUGCAAAAAGAAAAACGCUUGCAAAAAGAAAAAUGCUGCAAAAAGAAAAACGCUGCAAAAAGAAAAACGCUGCAAAAAGAAAAACACUUGCAAAAAGAAAAAUGCUGCAAAAAGAAAAAUGCUGCAAAAAGAAAAACGCUGCAAAAAGAAAAACACUUGCAAAAAGAAAAAUGCUGCAAAAAGAAAAAUGCUGCAAAAAGAAAAACACUUGCAAAAAGAAAAAUGCUGCAAAAAGAAAAAUGCUGCAAAAAGAAAAACGCUGCAAAAAGAAAAACACUUGCAAAAAGAAAAAUGCUGCAAAAAGAAAAACGCUGCAAAAAGAAAAACACUUGCAAAAAGAAAAAUGCUGCAAAAAGAAAAACGCUGCAAAAAGAAAAACGCUGCAAAAGCACACAAAGCACAACGGAAAUAGGAAAAAAGACAACGGAAAUGUUUCUGGGGAGACAAUACCCGGACGGACCAGUUGCACGAACCAAAACAUGCUAACAAGUGCACUGGGAGACACUUCAAAGAAGUGGAGCGGCCAAAGAGUAAACUUUCAAAACUUAUCACACAUUUGAUUUCCAUGUGCGACAACUGCAAGUGUCCAGAGUGAGGACAGACUGAGGGACCCACUGCUGCACAUCAUCUGUGAGGCUUUGCACCCUGAUGAUCCACCUGGACAAACUCAGCAGUGUGUGAGGAAGAGGAGGAGGAAGAGCCAGCAGCAGCUGACAGAUGGAGAGAAUAGACAGACUGUUCCCUGUUUGUGAAGGACUGCUAGAAAAGUUUAAAAUAACUAAUUGUCUGUCCUGAAUCAGUCUUAUUAGGUAAUGUUCAAAUAAUUUUAUCAUCCCAGUGUUUUCAGUGUGGGAGAAAGUACUCAGGGCCUUCAAGUUACACACUAUGAAAGGCAGCAACAAGUUUAAUAUUCAGAAACCUAAAGUAUGUAUCAGCAGCAGAAUGGAGCUAAAAAUAAAUGUUUGUUUCAGUUCUACGAAGCUUUGAGUAUUUUGGAUUAGUAGCACUGCUGUGUUUGUUGCAUCAUAUUGCUGUAAUUGUUUAUAUGCUUUAUAUAUUCUGAGGUAAGUUGAUCUAUAGUGUUACAUCAUAUUCUAUAAGGAUGUUAUGUGUUUGUAGACUUUCUGCCCAGUUUGACCCAUUUAGCAGAAGUCAGCCUGUUUAAGGCUCUGAUAUCUAUUCUGUAUGACUUAAAGCAGUUAUGACAUGGUCUGAUUUUCUCACCCA